ACCGAGGUGACUCAGCAAGUAGAGUAUGAGACCCUUAAUCUUAGGGUCGUGGGUUCGAAACCCACAUUGGGCA
Podarcis lilfordi (Lilford's wall lizard) is the source of this 73-nucleotide non-coding RNA. The record is from the annotation of a GenBank genome assembly. Lineage: Eukaryota; Metazoa; Chordata; Lepidosauria; Squamata; Lacertidae.